Molecule: non-coding RNA, 29 nt
Filed under: Mus musculus (house mouse)
Lineage: Eukaryota; Metazoa; Chordata; Mammalia; Rodentia; Muridae
Source: RNAcentral
UUCCUUCCUGUAGAAUUUCCGGUCUGGUC